GACGAACGCUGGCGGCGUGCUUAACACAUGCAAGUCGAGCGGUAAGGCCCYUCGGGGUACACGAGCGGCGAACGGGUGAGUAACACGUGAGCAACCUGCCCCUGACUCUGGGAUAAGCGGUGGAAACGCCGUCUAAUACCGGAUACGACCUUCCGCCUCAUGGUGGAGGGUGGAAAGUUUUUUCGGUCAGGGAUGGGCUCGCGGCCUAUCAGCUUGUUGGUGGGGUAACGGCCUACCAAGGCGAUUACGGGUAGCCGGCCUGAGAGGGCGACCGGCCACACUGGGACUGAGACACGGCCCAGACUCCUGCGGGAGGCAGCAGUGGGGAAUAUUGCGCAAUGGGCGAAAGCCUGACGCAGCGACGCCGCGUGGGGGAUGACGGCCUUCGGGUUGUAAACCUCUUUUACCACCAACGCAGGCUCCGGGUUCUCUCGGGGUUGACGGUAGGUGGGGAAUAAGGACCGGCUAACUACGU
This 475-nucleotide ribosomal RNA is filed under the name Nocardiopsis sp. 13-3. RNAcentral describes it as "bacterial SSU rRNA". It matches the Rfam family "Bacterial small subunit ribosomal RNA", at positions 28 to 506 of the family's 1533-position model. Lineage: Bacteria; Bacillati; Actinomycetota; Actinomycetes; Streptosporangiales; Nocardiopsidaceae. The record is from RNAcentral.